GGAGUUAGCCGGUGCUUCUUCUGUGAGUGAUGUCCUUCCUGCCGGCUAUUAACCCGCAGGCCUUCUUCCUCACUGAAAGUGCUUUACAACCCGAAGGCCUUCUUCACACACGCGGCAUGGCUGGAUCAGGGUUGCCCCCAUUGUCCAAUAUUCCCCACUGCUGCCUCCCGUAGGAGUCUGGGCCGUGUCUCAGUCCCAGUGUGGCUGAUCAUCCUCUCAGACCAGCUACGGAUCGUCGCCUUGGUGAGCCGUUACCUCACCAACCAGCUAAUCCGACAUAGGCUCAUCCGAUAGCGCGAGGCCCGAAGGUCCCCCGCUUUCCCCCGUAGGGCGUAUGCGGUAUUAGCCUGGGUUUCCCCAGGUUAUCCCCCACUACCGGGCAGAUUCCUAUGCAUUACUCACCCGUCCGCCGCUCGCCACCAGGGAGCAAGCUCCCCGUGCUGCCGCUCGACUUGCAUGUGUUAGCUGCCGCCAGCGUCAUCUGAACCAAGAUACAAUUACUGA
Molecule: ribosomal RNA, 504 nt
Filed under: uncultured bacterium
Lineage: Bacteria
Description: partial 16S ribosomal RNA
Source: RNAcentral